GGCCAUGUCAUGCUGAAACACUAGUUCUUGUAUGAUCACUGAAGUUAAGCAAUGUCGAGCCUGGUCAGUACAUAGAUGGGUGACCACUUGGGAAUACCAAAUGCUGUAAG
This is a non-coding RNA of Acanthosepion pharaonis, 110 nucleotides long. The record is from the annotation of a GenBank genome assembly. NCBI's taxonomy places the organism in Eukaryota, Metazoa, Mollusca, Cephalopoda, Sepiida, Sepiidae.